UGGGGAAUAUUGCACAAUGGGGGAAACCCUGAUGCAGCGACGCCGCGUGAACGAAGAAGGUAUUCGUAUCGUAAAGUUCUGUCCUAUGGGAAGAUAAUGACAGUACCAUAGAAGAAAGCUCCGGCUAAAUACGUGCCAGCAGCCGCGGUAAUACGUAUGGAGCGAGCGUUGUCCGGAAUUAUUGGGCGUAAAGGGUACGCAGGCGGUUUAAUAAGUCGAAUGUUAAAGAUCGGGGCUCAACCCCGUAAAGCAUUGGAAACUGAUAAACUUGAGUAGUGGAGAGGAAAGUGGAAUUCCUGGUGUAGUGGUGAAAUACGUAGAUAUUAGGAGGAAUACCAGUAGCGAAGGCGACUUUCUGGACACAAACUGACGCUGAGGUACGAAAGCGUGGGGAGCAAACAGG
This 403-nucleotide ribosomal RNA is filed under the name bacterium. Its description in RNAcentral is "partial 16S ribosomal RNA". It matches the Rfam family "Bacterial small subunit ribosomal RNA", at positions 355 to 776 of the family's 1533-position model. The record is from RNAcentral.